RNAcentral lists this ribosomal RNA (255 nucleotides) under Escherichia coli. RNAcentral describes it as "partial 23S ribosomal RNA". It matches the Rfam family "Bacterial large subunit ribosomal RNA", at positions 2062 to 2316 of the family's 2925-position model. RNAcentral also lists the same sequence under 1 other name. The record is from RNAcentral. Lineage: Bacteria; Pseudomonadati; Pseudomonadota; Gammaproteobacteria; Enterobacterales; Enterobacteriaceae.
CAGUGUACCCGCGGCAAGACGGAAAGACCCCGUGAACCUUUACUAUAGCUUGACACUGAACAUUGAGCCUUGAUGUGUAGGAUAGGUGGGAGGCUUUGAAGUGUGGACGCCAGUCUGCAUGGAGCCGACCUUGAAAUACCACCCUUUAAUGUUUGAUGUUCUAACGUUGACCCGUAAUCCGGGUUGCGGACAGUGUCUGGUGGGUAGUUUGACUGGGGCGGUCUCCUCCUAAAGAGUAACGGAGGAGCACGAAGG